RNAcentral lists this ribosomal RNA (468 nucleotides) under uncultured bacterium. RNAcentral's name for it is "partial 16S ribosomal RNA". It matches the Rfam family "Bacterial small subunit ribosomal RNA", at positions 28 to 507 of the family's 1533-position model. The record is from RNAcentral.
GACGAACGCUGGCGGCGUGCUUAACACAUGCAAGUCGAACGGAAAGGCCCUGCUUUUGUGGGUUGCUCGAGUGGCGAACGGGUGAGUAACACGUGAGUAACCUCUCCUUGACUUUGGGAUAACUUCAGGAAACUGGGGCUAAUACCGGAUAGGAGCUCCUGCUGCAUGGUGGGGGAUGGAAAGAUUCGGCGGUUGGGGAUGGACUCGCGGCUUAUCAGCUUGUUGGUGGGGUAGUGGCUUACCAAGGGUUUGACGGGUAGCCGGCCUGAGAGGGUGACCGGCCACAUGGGGACUGAGAUACGCAGCAGACUCCUACGGGAGGCAGCAGUGGGGAGUAUUGCGGAAUGGGCGGAAGCCUGAUGCAGCAACGCCGCGUGCGGGAUAACGGCCUUCGGGUUGUAAACCGCUUUCGCCUGAGACGAAGCGUGAGUGACGGUAAUGGGUAAAGAAGCACCGGCUAACUACGUG